GCUAGUAGCUCUCUCCCCCUAUAGCUCCUCCUACAGCUACCUACCCUCUCUCUGUUUCUAGGGCUCGAUCCAGGCGACACACACAGCCAUGGCAUGGGGGAGGAGGGAGGAGUAAUUCAUAUUGCUGGCCCCCGUUGCACACAAAUACACAUGCAGGCGCGCAGCGGAAAGCUAAAGGGAAUCUCAAUUUAUGUCGUUGCACCUACAUAUAUGCAUGAAUCGAUGUACCCUUCCCCUUCACCUCUCCUCUCGCUCUGCAUACUUAUGUUAGAGAGAGAGAGGCAGCGACAGAGAGAGGGCCGUGUUUCCAUUAAUGCUGCAGCCUGUCUUUACUCAUUUGGUAGCCGGGGCUCUUCAAUGCCGCUCCACCCACACCGCACCUCCGGGCCGGACCUCCUCCAUAAGUUCCGCCCCUCCCCCCUCCUUCCACUUCACAAUCUCCAGCCUCUCCUCUCUUCUCCUUCCGUCUCUUCCGAGAGGAACUCGAAGCUGCUCCGAGGAGAGAGAUUGAAAUGGUCACUAUGAUGUUGGCUCGACUCACUCAGACCACGCCGGCCAGAGCGAUGCCUGCGAGCUCGCCACCGCGAUCCAUCUGAUUGAGCCGUGCCAAUAUCUUAGUGCUCUUUCAUUUACCAAUGGCGACGGCCGGCCGAUGCGUGAGCGCCUUCAUCUGCAUUCCAGGUGGUGGUACAUGGUAACUCUCAAGAAAGAAAAGGUUGGACACAAAGAAAUCAGUAUCAGAACUUCACCCCUUCUGUAGUCUCUGGCAACAGGAAUCAAAGAACAGUUCUACGUACUACCUGCAAGAGGCAAAUACAAGUAGUUACUGUUUUGUAACCUGAAGAUGCCCCGUCAGAACAGUUCAGUUAGAAGACCUCCACAUGAUUGUAGUCUGUGUUGUGAGAGACUGGCUUUUCAGAACCUGGGUGCAUAUGAACACACUUUUUCAAAAGUACGUUUGUGAUGUGAAAACAUGUUUUAAAAAUCGAAACACAAAAUGAAUGCAAAGGUGAUCUCAAACAUGUGCCUUGGACAUGAGUUUCGUGACGAAAAAACCUUUUAUUUUGCCUCGGCAAAAAAAAUGAAAUUUUGCAGGGCUAUAUAGCAGUAUAUAUGUGACGUAUUUUAUCUUUUUUAGAUUACGAAAUAAAAAAUUGGUUUCUCCGCGAAAACUUUCUACGCACACAUGGAACAUGCAUACGUACCCCUAUUUUAUUUCAGAAUUUUUUAACAUUUGGAAAAUGCAUUUUCCACCUGGGUUCACGUGCACCCAGGUUCAAUUGGGACUUUUCCGUGUUGUGAUGACAAUUUUGCAGGAAAAUGAACGUGUAGUGUUGUGCUUGCAAGUGUGCUCUCUAACGUCUCUGUACACGCAUCAUCCUCCAUAGUAGAGAUAAUUAAUAGUGCUCCUAUCCAAAAUGAAGUCAUUUGUAAAAUUUACAAUGUCCAUUAGAUUCCAUGAGUGUUUAUUUCCCCAGCGUUCGUGCAAACUGAUGAAAUCUCGGCAUGUACUGUAGUACAUACAAAAUGAGAAGCGCAUGUAAUUUUUCCUUGUAUUUUCAGAAGACUUUAUGUACUACACAGAACUUGGAAUGGAGUUCAUGAGACAUGCAUAGUUGAA
Long non-coding RNA from Lolium perenne, 1621 nucleotides. RefSeq lists it as uncharacterized. NCBI's taxonomy places the organism in Eukaryota, Viridiplantae, Streptophyta, Magnoliopsida, Poales, Poaceae. The record is from RefSeq and is a predicted model, not a curated record.